UAUAUGAACGACACAAAGAAGACUCCACAUGAAUUCUUAUAGAGUUCAUUCAAUCUCUGCUUACAUGAAAUAAGAAUACUUCUCCUCGGCAAGCGUAUAAUAAAAUAAAAUAAAAGUAAAAGUAAAAGGAGCGCCGCCGCCGACUGAGGCAGCCAAACAGGCUCUCGCAGCUGGGCAUCCCCUAUAAAAAGGAUUGCACUUCUGCUGGCCGUCUCAUUCAGUGUUUUGUGCUGAGUCCGAGAUGUUGGGCUGACGGUCAGCAAUCGCUCCUGCCGGAAGGACAAGCAACAGCCACCAAUUCGAUUCGCGAGCAGGGGGCCCGAUGCGACGCAGAGUGCUGCUCUGUAAAUUACGAAACCUGAAACAGAAACAGAACCGAUUGGCAGGCAUUUGCAAUAGCAUUUAACUCAAUUGGAAUGUAACUGAGUCCCAGCUCCGGCCCCAACGCCCCACGCCCGGCACACAACACCAACAACACUUUCGGCAGAUAUUUGGCUUAUCACAUCUAAACGUCAUCCAGCAACCGGCAACCAAGGCCAUUUAACGAUGCAAAUAGGCCCGGCGACCACUUUGUGGCACUUCGCAUUGUCAACCAGAGGCCGUCGUCAUUUUGCACUCAUCCCAAGGCAUUGAAUCGCACGGAACCGUUGGAGGAAUCCCAAACGCACUUUCGGCCAAACACCAAAAUUCACAUUUGCGAUUAAGUUUAGGUGUAACCAAUAAACACGACAAAAACUACAAUAGGCUACCAAA
Drosophila mojavensis is the source of this 753-nucleotide long non-coding RNA. RefSeq lists it as uncharacterized. Lineage: Eukaryota; Metazoa; Arthropoda; Insecta; Diptera; Drosophilidae. The transcript has 2 exons. The record is from RefSeq and is a predicted model, not a curated record.